GCAAGCUGCCAUAUCUAAAUGUGAAAUGAAAUUUUGAAUAAAACAAAUCUUACAACAAAUACUCAUUUUUAUUAUUUCAUAGGCAGGCAUACUAUUUAAUAUGUGUAAUCUGGAAAUGUUUAAUUGGACAAUAUAACUUUCCGUGUGAACUGAGUUUCAUUUAGACGAAACUUAUUUCCUCUAUCUGUUCUUAACUCCGAC
RNAcentral lists this long non-coding RNA (201 nucleotides) under Setaria viridis. RNAcentral describes it as "long non-coding RNA (SVIR_LNC002562)". Lineage: Eukaryota; Viridiplantae; Streptophyta; Magnoliopsida; Poales; Poaceae. The record is from RNAcentral.